RNAcentral lists this ribosomal RNA (497 nucleotides) under uncultured bacterium. Its description in RNAcentral is "partial 16S ribosomal RNA". It matches the Rfam family "Bacterial small subunit ribosomal RNA", at positions 28 to 507 of the family's 1533-position model. The record is from RNAcentral.
GAUGAACGCUGGCGGCGUGCCUAAUACAUGCAAGUCGAGCGAACAGACGAGGAGCUUGCUCCUCUGACGUUAGCGGCGGACGGGUGAGUAACACGUGGAUAACCUACCUAUAAGACUGGGAUAACUUCGGGAAACCGGAGCUAAUACCGGAUAACAUGUUGAACCGCAUGGUUUAACAGUGAAAGACGGUCUUGCUGUCACUUAUAGAUGGAUCCGCGCCGCAUUAGCUAGUUGGUAAGGUAACGGCUUACCAAGGCAACGAUGCGUAGCCGACCUGAGAGGGUGAUCGGCCACACUGGAACUGAGACAAGGUCCAGACUCCUACGGGAGGCAGCAGUAGGGAAUCUUCCGCAAUGGGCGAAAGCCUGACGGAGCAACGCCGCGUGAGUGAAGAAGGUCUUCGGAUCGUAAAACUCUGUUAUUAGGGAAGAACAAAUGUGUAAGUAACUAUGCACGUCUUGACGGUACCUAAUCAGAAAGCCACGGCUAACUACGUG